UGUUGGGGUAACGGCCCAACAAGCCAUUGAUCGGUACGGGUUGUGGGAGCAAGAGCCCGGAGAUGGAUUCUGAGACAUGAAUCCAGGCCCUACGGGGCGCAGCAGGCGCGAAAACUUUACAAUGCGAGCAAUCGUGAUAAGGAAACCCUGAGUGCCUGUCAAUGCAGGCUGUUCUGGUGUCUAACACACACCAGGAGAAAGGGCGGGGCAAGACCGGUGCCAGCCGCCGCGGUAAUACCGGCUGCUCGAGUGAUAGCCGCUUUUACCGGGCUUAAAGCGUUCGUAGCUUGGUCGUUAAGUCUCUGGGGAAAUCUUUUGGCUUAACCAAAAGGCGUCUCAGGGAAACUGGCGAUCUUGGAACCGGGAGAGGUAAGACGUACUUCGGGGGUAGGAGUGAAAUCUUGUAAUCCCCGAGGGACGACCGAUGGCGAAGGCAUCUUACCAGAACGGCUUCGACAGUGAGGGACGAAAGCUGGGGGAGCAAACCGGAUUAGAU
RNAcentral lists this ribosomal RNA (496 nucleotides) under uncultured microorganism. Its description in RNAcentral is "bacterial SSU rRNA". It matches the Rfam family "Archaeal small subunit ribosomal RNA", at positions 234 to 734 of the family's 1478-position model. The record is from RNAcentral.